UACAGAGGGGGCAAGCGUUGUUCGGAAUUACUGGGCGUAAAGGGCGCGUAGGUGGCCUUCUAAGUUGAACGUGAAAUCCCUGGGCUCAACCCAGGAACUGCGUCCAAGACUGGGAGGCUUGAAUCCGGGAGAGGGAUGCGGAAUUCCAGGUGUAGCGGUGAAAUGCGUAGAUAUCUGGAGGAACACCGGUGGCGAAGGCGGCAUCCUGGACCGGUAUUGACACUGAGGUGCGAAAGCGUGGGGAGCAAACAGG
RNAcentral lists this ribosomal RNA (253 nucleotides) under uncultured bacterium. RNAcentral describes it as "partial 16S ribosomal RNA". It matches the Rfam family "Bacterial small subunit ribosomal RNA", at positions 524 to 776 of the family's 1533-position model. The record is from RNAcentral.